GAGAGUGUGGCUCAGCGGUAGAGCACAUGCCUAGCGUGCAUGAGGUCCUGAAUUCAGUCCCCAGUACCUCCA
RNAcentral lists this transfer RNA (72 nucleotides) under Camelus bactrianus (Bactrian camel). It matches the Rfam family "tRNA". Rfam says of the family: Transfer RNA (tRNA) molecules are approximately 80 nucleotides in length. Their secondary structure includes four short double-helical elements and three loops (D, anti-codon, and T loops). Further hydrogen bonds mediate the characteristic L-shaped molecular structure. tRNAs have two regions of fundamental functional importance: the anti-codon, which is responsible for specific mRNA codon recognition, and the 3' end, to which the tRNAs corresponding amino acid is attached (by aminoacyl-tRNA synthetases). tRNAs cope with the degeneracy of the genetic code in two manners: having more than one tRNA (with a specific anti-codon) for a particular amino acid; and 'wobble' base-pairing, i.e. permitting non-standard base-pairing at the 3rd anti-codon position. Lineage: Eukaryota; Metazoa; Chordata; Mammalia; Artiodactyla; Camelidae. The record is from Rfam by way of RNAcentral. RNAcentral also lists the same sequence under 2 other names.